GAACGCUGGCGGCGUGCUUAACACAUGCAAGUCGAACGUGAAAGGGGCUUCGGCCCUAAGUAAAGUGGCGCACGGGUGAGUAACACGUGGAUAAUCUGCCCUUAUGAUCGGGAUAACAGUCGGAAACGGCUGCUAAUACCGGAUACGCUCAAAAUGAACUUUUUGAGGAAAGGUGACCUCUGCUUGCAAGUUACUGCAUGAGGAUGAGUCCGCGGCCCAUUAGCUAGUUGGUAGGGUAACGGCCUACCAAGGCAACGAUGGGUAGCCGAUUUGAGAGGAUGAUCGGCCACACUGGGACUGAAACACGGCCCAGACUCCUACGGGAGGCAGCAGUGGGGAAUAUUGCGCAAUGGGCGAAAGCCUGACGCAGCGACGCCGCGUGAGGGAUGAAGGUUUUCGGAUCGUAAACCUCUGUCAGAAGGGAAGAAACCGCACCGUGCUAAUCAGCGGUGCAUUGACGGUACCUUCAAAGGAAGCACCGGCUAACUCCGUGCCAGCAGCCGC
RNAcentral lists this ribosomal RNA (504 nucleotides) under uncultured bacterium. Its description in RNAcentral is "bacterial SSU rRNA". It matches the Rfam family "Bacterial small subunit ribosomal RNA", at positions 31 to 518 of the family's 1533-position model. The record is from RNAcentral.